UCAAGCAGCACAAGCAGAGUUCCUGAGCCAAAUAUUCCCGUGCUGUGAACGAUGUGCCUUGACUGCCUUUCUCCAGCAGCUGCCAAUUCUCCUCUGGCUCUCUCUAGGCUGAGUGGGGAAUUGAGUGCCAUACAGCUGGUCAGUGGCUGGACAGAGAUCCUUGAGAAGAUAGGCAUCCCAGAGGCCCCAGAAUACAGAUGCCUGUGCAGUACAUCCUUGGGGACUGGGACUUUUGCUGGCUCAAUCUGAAGAUGACAUCCCCAGUGUUCAUUCCUCAACUAGAG
Dipodomys ordii (Ord's kangaroo rat) is the source of this 284-nucleotide long non-coding RNA. RefSeq lists it as uncharacterized. The transcript has 3 exons. The record is from RefSeq and is a predicted model, not a curated record. Lineage: Eukaryota; Metazoa; Chordata; Mammalia; Rodentia; Heteromyidae.